This 407-nucleotide ribosomal RNA is filed under the name uncultured Prevotella sp. Its description in RNAcentral is "bacterial SSU rRNA". It matches the Rfam family "Bacterial small subunit ribosomal RNA", at positions 355 to 760 of the family's 1533-position model. The record is from RNAcentral. Lineage: Bacteria; Pseudomonadati; Bacteroidota; Bacteroidia; Bacteroidales; Prevotellaceae.
UGAGGAAUAUUGGUCAAUGGGCGAGAGCCUGAACCAGCCAAGUAGCGUGCAGGACGACGGCCCUAUGGGUUGUAAACUGCUUUUAUAAGGGAAUAAAGUGGGUCACGUGUGACUUUUUGCAUGUACCUUAUGAAUAAGGACCGGCUAAUUCCGUGCCAGCAGCCGCGGUAAUACGGAAGGUCCGGGCGUUAUCCGGAUUUAUUGGGUUUAAAGGGAGCGCAGGCGGACUUUUAAGUCAGCUGUUAAAUUCGGUGGCUCAACCAUCGCAUGCAGUUGAAACUGGAGGUCUUGAGUGUACACAGGGAUGCUGGAAUUCAUGGUGUAGCGGUGAAAUGCUCAGAUAUCAUGAAGAACUCCAAUCGCGAAGGCAGGCAUCCGGGGUACAACUGACGCUGAGGCUCGAAAGU